RNAcentral lists this transfer RNA (92 nucleotides) under Calocera viscosa TUFC12733. Its description in RNAcentral is "tRNA-Ser". Lineage: Eukaryota; Fungi; Basidiomycota; Dacrymycetes; Dacrymycetales; Dacrymycetaceae. The record is from RNAcentral.
GACACUUUGCCGGAGUGGUUAACGGGUGCCCCUGCUACUCCCAGCAUAGGGUAUGGUCUCAGACCGCGUGUGUUCGAAUCGCACAGGUGUCG